RNAcentral lists this small RNA (29 nucleotides) under Bombyx mori (domestic silkworm). Its description in RNAcentral is "ovarian small RNA-13039". Lineage: Eukaryota; Metazoa; Arthropoda; Insecta; Lepidoptera; Bombycidae. The record is from RNAcentral.
CACGUCUCUUAACGAGGCUCCGUGUCUUU